Molecule: non-coding RNA, 1722 nt
Organism: Meleagris gallopavo (turkey)
Lineage: Eukaryota; Metazoa; Chordata; Aves; Galliformes; Phasianidae
Source: RefSeq, a predicted model, not a curated record
UCCCAGAAACUGGUUUUACUGGUGUAAUAGUACAGUGUUGGGCAGAAGAAAAAAAAAUAAUAAAAUACUCGGUGUCAAUUCCUUUUGCCGUAUAAUCCUACAGGGGCAAGCCUUAUUGAAUACUGUAACGGCCUUCUGAAGGCUGCCCUGAAGACGUGUGAGAGUUCGAUUAUGUUUUUGCAGUGGAGGUUUCCAGUAUUUCUGUACGUACCAUGGGUGAACUUGGCUUUCACAAAGAAAGCUUCCAAACAGAAUCAAGUGAAGACUGGGGCAUUCAGACAUAGGUUUAAUUGGCGCAGGCACUAGGUAAGGUAAUUAUGUAGGGUAGGGGAGAGUCUGGUGCAGGGCAGAAUGCGUGUGCUAAUUUUCGAGAAUAUUGUCCUCCUGUUGCCAUAAAAAGUACAGAACAUCCUCAUAAACAAUGCGUUGGAAACAGACGCUGUAUGGAAAUGUAAGGUAGCAACAGUGAGGAAAGACGGUGAGUCUGAGACAUGGAAGCAACGAGCUCCAGGAAAGGCUUUACCUGCUUUGGGCCCAGGGUAUAUAACGGCAUAGUUUACAUCAACUAGCUGCGCAAUUUUUCCCUUGUUGUUAAGGGGCGUGCACCCAUCAUUGCAGUAAUGAAUAAACUGCUCUUCUCAAAAAUCUUUGCUUUAUUAGAAACCACUAUUGUGAGCGUGUGUAUGGGAACUGCUGAAUCACUGCCUGAACCUCUGAUGGAUCACCUGAGGUGAGCAAUGAGUCAUCCACUGGAGCACAGGUGAAGGCCAUUCCCCUGUGCUGUAGGAAGGGGUGCAGCCUGGCUCCACCUCUCCUAGACCUAUUUAAGAGCUGACUACCAGGGGGAAUGAACUCUUCUGGAGAUCCACUUUGCUGGAGUAUCACAAGCGAGCCCAGGAUACAGGAAGCGUCGUCUUCAAUAAUUAAGUUCCAGUGAAGUCAUAUGAGUUGUUAUGAUCGAAGUACACUUCAUCCAAGAAACAUGACCUGCCUCCAGUGGAGUGAACCUUACUUAACUAAAAAAAUGACCCCAACAUCAUGAACUGUAUCACCUGCUGGUAUGAGUCAGAGAAACCAGAGAAGUGACAGGGCACUGUUAAAAAGCUUUCCAUGGCUGGAUGGUAAGGAACGGGAGAAUAACCCGUGGCUCAAAGUUGAUAUGGAGGCAGCCAUUUCAGACACGAGCAGCUGGAGAACGCCUGGCUGAAAAUGCGUCCUAUGGCACCCAUGAAUGGUAAGACCUGCAAAACAAGUUUUGGAAGUUAAAGACUGACUACUAUGACUGCACUGGAAAGAGAACAGAGUUAGUUUCUGCUGAGGAAAGAAAAUCUGUCUACAUGUCCCUGACCAGGUGUGCUGGAAAAAGACGAUAUGAUGGGAUAGUGUGGUGGUGACUGCAGGUUCUCUGUAAGCUGCUAAAUAGAAUAUUGUCCUUGACUAGUAGCAAAUGAUCCAUGUACUCCACAAACCUUUGCAGCUUCGAAUGUGCAAUGCUUAGUAUGCUAAGACUAACGACGCUGUCAUGCUGCAAUGGAUCACAAGAAAGGAAAAGGAAUAGUUACAGUAAUGAAAAUCAAGUAACAAAAAGGACAAAGGAAAUGAAUAAAAAGGUUUUAAAAAGGUGACUGGUGAGUGUGCUUUAUUAAUCUCAUCUCAUCUCAUCUCAUCUCAUCUCAUCUCAUCUCAUCUCAUCUCAUCUCAUCUCAUCUCAUCUCAUCUCAU